CCUCUUCCCAACAAUAUUCCUUCCUCUUCUCCAUACCUCUUUUCUUCAUCUCUCUCUUUCUCUCAUAUCCAUUCUUCUUCUUCUUCUUCAACAACUUGUUAUUGAUUAUACCCUUCUCCUUAUGCUCAAGUUUUGGUUCUAGCUUGAUUGAGCUUGAAACGGAAGAGAUAGGAAAAAGAAGAAUGAGUUCAAGCACAGUGCCACUUCCCACCAACAAUAAGGAAAACAAGCAAGAAAAUAACAAUGAGACUUACAAAGUUC
This 261-nucleotide long non-coding RNA is filed under the name Linum usitatissimum (flax). RNAcentral's name for it is "long non-coding RNA (LUSI_LNC000652)". Lineage: Eukaryota; Viridiplantae; Streptophyta; Magnoliopsida; Malpighiales; Linaceae. The record is from RNAcentral.